RNAcentral lists this ribosomal RNA (301 nucleotides) under uncultured bacterium. RNAcentral's name for it is "partial 16S ribosomal RNA". It matches the Rfam family "Bacterial small subunit ribosomal RNA", at positions 512 to 808 of the family's 1533-position model. The record is from RNAcentral.
CAUCGCCGCGGUAAUACAGAGGGUGCGAGCGUUAAUCGGAUUUACUGGGCGUAAAGCGUGCGUAGGCGGCUUUUUAAGUCGGAUGUGAAAUCCCUGAGCUUAACUUAGGAAUUGCAUUCGAUACUGGGAAGCUAGAGUAUGGGAGAGGAUGGUAGAAUUCCAGGUGUAGCGGUGAAAUGCGUAGAGAUCUGGAGGAAUACCGAUGGCGAAGGCAGCCAUCUGGCCUAAUACUGACGCUGAGGUACGAAAGCAUGGGGAGCAAACAGGAUUAGAUACCCCUGUAGUCCCUGUCUCUUAUACA